Non-coding RNA from Melozone crissalis (California towhee), 414 nucleotides. NCBI's taxonomy places the organism in Eukaryota, Metazoa, Chordata, Aves, Passeriformes, Passerellidae. The record is from the annotation of a RefSeq genome assembly.
CGGGCGGCCGUGACCCUGCUGGAGCGCGGGGGGGACCUCCAGCCCCCCGGGGGGUCCCUGCGCCUCCUCUGCCGAGGGUCCGGGUUCGAUUUUGGGAAUUUCAACAUGGGCUGGAUGCGUCAAAGACCUGGGAAGGGACUGGAAUUCGUGGCAGGGAUCAGCAACAACGGUGGAAACAUUGGCUACGCACCAUCGGUCAAGGGCCGGUUCAGCAUCUCCAUAGACAACGGGCAGAGCUCGGUGACGCUGACCAUGAACAGCCUCAAGGACGAGGAUUCCGGAUCCUAUUUCUGUGCCAAGGGUGCUUACAGUUGUUGUGCUGCUUCUGAUGCUGAUGUUGGUGGUGGUGUCCUUACCCCUGUUCCUGUCCCCGUGCCCCAGAUCAUUCCCUCCAACCCCAGACCCCACUCCUGA